UCCAGACUCCUACGGGAGGCAGCAGUGAGGAAUAUUGGUCAAUGGGCGGGAGCCUGAACCAGCCAAGUCGCGUGAGGGAAGACGGUCCUAUGGAUUGUAAACCUCUUUAGGCGGGGAGCAAUGCCGGGCACGCGUGCCCGGAGGGAGAGUACCCGCAGAAUAAGCAUCGGCUAACUCCGUGCCAGCAGCCGCGGUAAUACGUAGGGGGCAAGCGUUAUCCGGAUUUACUGGGUGUAAAGGGGGCGCAGACGGCAGCGCAAGCCAGGAGUGAAAGCCCGGGGCCCAACCCCGGGACUGCCCUUGGAACUGCAUGGCUGGAGUGCGGGAGGGGCAGGCGGAAUUCCUGGUGUAGCGGUGAAAUGCGUAGAUAUCAGGAGGAACACCGGCGGCGAAGGCGGCCUGCUGGACCGCGACUGACGUUGAGGCUCGAAAGCGUGGGGAGCGAACAGGAUUAGAUACCCGAGUAG
RNAcentral lists this ribosomal RNA (467 nucleotides) under uncultured bacterium. RNAcentral describes it as "bacterial SSU rRNA". It matches the Rfam family "Bacterial small subunit ribosomal RNA", at positions 330 to 793 of the family's 1533-position model. The record is from RNAcentral.